Drosophila bipectinata is the source of this 864-nucleotide non-coding RNA. The record is from RefSeq and is a predicted model, not a curated record. Lineage: Eukaryota; Metazoa; Arthropoda; Insecta; Diptera; Drosophilidae.
ACAUAAUCGAACCAAAUAACCAGCAUAUAAAACUGAAUAAAAAAUCUAUUAAAUCGCCACAAUAAACAACAAAAUAAAAGAAAAACCAAAAACAAUUUCAUCUCAACUCAAAGAUUUCGUAAAACUCGUUCAAAAUCCUAAGGACCUGGACAAUCGGAUCUAUAAUUAUUUCUCAACGCCAUAGAAAUCAAUUAUAGCAACUGAACACAGCAUACAGACAUCGAAACUGAAACUCAGAAUCAGAAUGCUUGUUAUAGUUAUCUAGUUUAAGUACCAGCCACUCUAAGGAUCGCCACAAUCGUUUAGCUUGGGAACGGGAAUACAAGUUUUUAGUAAAAUUUCUUUACACUAACCAACAUAAUUUUGUAGCUGACGAGGAAAGUUUUUGUUUUUUUCUUUGUUUGUUGAACGCGAUUUGGUAGCAGCACUAAACACCAAACAAAACAAUUCUAACACGAUUACGAAGCAAUUAAUACAAGCGAAUAAUUACUAAUCCUAAAAUUUAAGUGAUGAUGAGGUAACAACGAAACGAAUUAUAUGCAAGAAAUCGACUAAGCUUGAUAUGUAUCCGGAUAACACGAAAGCGCACAUCAAAUACGACUAAUAAUAAUAAUGGUAUAAUAAAUAUUUUGUUAUUUGCGAAAAUCAUUAUUUCAAACAAUUUCACUAUUGACGAUUUUACUUUGUAUUGUGUCAUCAUUAUUUAUUCAUUUAUAAUUAUUAUUAUGUUCGUAUGCAUACGAACGUCUUUUAAAUUUACAUCGAUUUGACUAUUUUUAUUUUAUAUCUAUAUAAAAUAUAUUUUGUGUUGUAUAAUUUCGUAUGCAGUAAACAUUUUUAGUAAAUAAAGAGAAAUAAAGUCAA